Molecule: long non-coding RNA, 284 nt
Filed under: Carica papaya (papaya)
Lineage: Eukaryota; Viridiplantae; Streptophyta; Magnoliopsida; Brassicales; Caricaceae
Description: long non-coding RNA (CPAP_LNC001088)
Source: RNAcentral
GCCCUAUACAGCUACACCCACAGACCUCUAGUUCGACACUUCAAACCCACGCUCUAUGGCCUCUCUUUCCUCCUCCUAAAUUUUCUGCAUCCACACACUACUUCCUCUCUUACACAAAUCCACCUCACACCAAAUCUUUUCCUCUCUCUCCCUCCACGGCCUACUCUAGAUACCCCACUCUCAAAUCCUGAAAUCACUUCUCUCUCACAAACCUCACUCACACACCGCAUUCCUCCAUCUCGCUCCUCCCGUGGACUUCUCAUCAUACCUCCCCUUAUACUCAC